GCCUGGGUGGCUCAGUCGGUUGGGCAUCCGACUUCGGCUCAGGUCAUCUUGUGGUCCGUGGGUUCGAGCCCCACGUCAGGCU
RNAcentral lists this transfer RNA (82 nucleotides) under Felis catus (domestic cat). It matches the Rfam family "tRNA". From Rfam's summary of the family: Transfer RNA (tRNA) molecules are approximately 80 nucleotides in length. Their secondary structure includes four short double-helical elements and three loops (D, anti-codon, and T loops). Lineage: Eukaryota; Metazoa; Chordata; Mammalia; Carnivora; Felidae. The record is from Rfam by way of RNAcentral.